Molecule: long non-coding RNA, 1143 nt
Organism: Callithrix jacchus (white-tufted-ear marmoset)
Lineage: Eukaryota; Metazoa; Chordata; Mammalia; Primates; Cebidae
Source: Ensembl
AUGGGGCUGGACACCAUGAGGUUUCCAGCAGCCAGGGCUGCAGCCAGAGCAGCCCCCAUAGAAUACUCAGGCAGCAGGAAGUGCAGGCUGGUGAGGAGAGUGGGAACACUGCCCCACAUGCAGCUGCGUAGGUGCUACCCAGCGGACAAGCUGCCUCUGCCUCCACUUGGCUUCGCCAUAUGGCACAUUUGCCCCUGGCAGUGUCCAGCCCCAGGCCUGGGUGACUGGGGACACAGUAUACUGGUGGAGAAAAACGUUAAUGAGCUCCUCCAAGGGAAGAGGCCGGCAACGGGGAGGAGGUGGCUGUCAGGGCAGAGCUUCCUGGUAGCCAGGCCCAGGCAGUGCCAGAACACCCACCUCAGGUCUCACCUGCAGAACAUCUACACGAGUCACUCACACUGGGCCAGGCACAGGGUGUGUGCACAGAGGGCAGAUCCAGAUCACACGAUGGCACAGGUGCCCAUGGGUGUGCAGGGAGUGUGUGGGGGAAAGGAAUGUGUGCUCAUGUGCCAGUGGGAGGGUAUGUGUGAGUGUUUCUGUGGGAGUGUGUGUGUGUGUGAGUGUGGGUGUGCCUGUGGGUGUGGGUGUGUGCAUGUGCUGGUGGGGUGUGUGUGUGUGUGGCUGUGCCUGUGGGAGAGUGUGACCAUGAGUGUGAGUGUGCACCGUGCCUGUGGGAGGGUGUGUGGGUUUGUGCAUGUGCCUGUGGGAGGGUAUGUGGGUUUGUGCAUGUGCCUGUGGGAGGGUGUGUGGGUUUGUGCAUGUGCCUGUGGGAGGAUGUGUGUGUGUGUGGGUGGGUGUGUGUGCAUGUGCCUGUGGGAGGGUGUGUGUGGGUGUGGGUGUGGGCAUGUGCUUACGGGGGGGCCUGUGAGUGUGGGUGUGCUUGUAGGAGGGUGUGUGUGGGUGUGUGCAUGUGCCUGUGGGAGGAUGUGGGUGUGGGUGUGGGUGUGGGCAUGUGUCUAUGGGGGGGCCUAUGAAUGUGGGUGUGCUUGUGGGAGGGUGUGUGUAGGUGUGGGUGUGUGCAUGUGCCUGUGGGAGGGUGUGUAUGGGUGUGGGUGUGGGCGUGUGCCUGUGGGGGUGGUGUGUGUGAGGGUGAUCCUGAGUGUGAGUGGGAGGGUGUGUGUGAGUGUGAGUGGGAAGGUGUGA